UCACCUCUGACAGCGUGUUGCCGCGGCGCUCCAGCAGGCGGCUCACCUUUGUGAGCCACUCUGGCUUGUGCUGACCCGUGCGAAUUCCCCAAAUGUGGGAAUCUCGACUGCAUAAUUUCUGGUAGUGGGGGACCUGCGUUCGCGCUCUCCCCUG
This 154-nucleotide small nuclear RNA is filed under the name Scophthalmus maximus (turbot). RNAcentral's name for it is "U1 spliceosomal RNA (ENSSMAG00000022736.1)". It matches the Rfam family "U1 spliceosomal RNA". From Rfam's summary of the family: U1 is a small nuclear RNA (snRNA) component of the spliceosome (involved in pre-mRNA splicing). Its 5' end forms complementary base pairs with the 5' splice junction, thus defining the 5' donor site of an intron. The record is from RNAcentral. Lineage: Eukaryota; Metazoa; Chordata; Actinopteri; Pleuronectiformes; Scophthalmidae.